GAUCCUGGCUCAGGACGAACGCUGGCGGCAUGCCUAACACAUGCAAGUCGAACGGAGAAAGUUCAACACCAAGUAUUUCAUCCGCUGAAGUGUAGCGGUAAAAAUUGCGAAGCAAUUUUUACUACGCAUUAAAAGCAUGAACUAACACAGCGGUUGAAGUAUUAGGUGUUGAACUUUCUUAGUGGCGAACGGGUGAGUAACGCGUGGGCAACCUGCCCUCUAGAUGGGGACAACAUCCCAAGGAGGG
RNAcentral lists this ribosomal RNA (247 nucleotides) under uncultured bacterium. Its description in RNAcentral is "partial 16S ribosomal RNA". It matches the Rfam family "Bacterial small subunit ribosomal RNA", at positions 15 to 160 of the family's 1533-position model. The record is from RNAcentral.